RNAcentral lists this ribosomal RNA (439 nucleotides) under uncultured bacterium. Its description in RNAcentral is "partial 16S ribosomal RNA". It matches the Rfam family "Bacterial small subunit ribosomal RNA", at positions 338 to 795 of the family's 1533-position model. The record is from RNAcentral.
CCUAGGGGCGCACCAGUGAGGAAUAUUGCACAAUGGGGGGAACCCUGAUGCAGCAACGCCGCGUGGAGGAUGACGCAUUUCGGUGUGUAAACUCCUUUUAUAUGUCAAGAAAAUGACGGUAGCAUAUGAAUAAGCACCGGCUAACUCCGUGCCAGCAGCCGCGGUAAUACGGAGGGUGCAAGCGUUACUCGGAAUCACUGGGCGUAAAGGACGCGUAGGCGGGUUGGAAAGUCAGGUGUGAAAUCCUACAGCUUAACUGUAGAACUGCACUUGAAACUUCUAAUCUAGAGUAUGGGAGGGGGAGAUGGAAUUAGUGGUGUAGGGGUAAAAUCCGUAGAUAUCACUAGGAAUACCUAAAGCGAAGGCGAUCUCCUGGAACAUUACUGACGCUAAGGCGUGAAAGCGUGGGGAGCAAACAGGAUUAGAUACCCCAGUAGUC